RNAcentral lists this ribosomal RNA (497 nucleotides) under uncultured bacterium. RNAcentral describes it as "partial 16S ribosomal RNA". It matches the Rfam family "Bacterial small subunit ribosomal RNA", at positions 28 to 507 of the family's 1533-position model. The record is from RNAcentral.
GAUGAACGCUGGCGGCGUGCCUAAUACAUGCAAGUCGAGCGAACGGACGAGAAGCUUGCUUUUCUGAUGUUAGCGGCGGACGGGUGAGUAACACGUGGAUAACCUACCUAUAAGACUGGGAUAACUUCGGGAAACCGGAGCUAAGACCGGAUAAUAUUUUGAACCGCAUGGUUCAAAAGUGAAAGACGGUCUUUCUGUCACUUAUAGAUGGAUCCGCGCUGCAUUAGCUAGUUGGUAAGGUAACGGCUUACCAAGGCAACGAUGCAUAGCCGACCUGAGAGGGUGAUCGGCCACACUGGAACUGAGACACGGUCCAGACUCCUACGGGAGGCAGCAGUAGGGAAUCUUCCGCAAUAGGCGAAAGCCUGACGGAGCAACGCCGCGUGAGUGAUGAAGGUCUUCGGAUCGUAAAACUCUGUUAUUAGGGAAGAACAUAUGUGUAAGUAACUGUGCACAUCUUGACGGUACCUAAUCAGAAAGCCACGGCUAACUACGUG